UACGUAGGGUGCGAGCGUUGUCCGGAAUUACUGGGCGUAAAGAGCUCGUAGGUGGUUUGUCGCGUUGUUCGUGAAAACUCACAGCUUAACUGUGGGCGUGCGGGCGAUACGGGCAGACUGGAGUACUGCAGGGGAGACUGGAAUUCCUGGUGUAGCGGUGGAAUGCGCAGAUAUCAGGAGGAACACCGGUGGCGAAGGCGGGUCUCUGGGCAGUAACUGAUGCUGAGGAGCGAAAGCGUGGGGAGCGAACAGG
Molecule: ribosomal RNA, 253 nt
Filed under: uncultured bacterium
Lineage: Bacteria
Description: partial 16S ribosomal RNA
Rfam family: Bacterial small subunit ribosomal RNA
Source: RNAcentral